RNAcentral lists this ribosomal RNA (253 nucleotides) under uncultured bacterium. RNAcentral's name for it is "partial 16S ribosomal RNA". It matches the Rfam family "Bacterial small subunit ribosomal RNA", at positions 524 to 776 of the family's 1533-position model. The record is from RNAcentral.
UACGUAGGUGGCAAGCGUUGUCCGGAAUUAUUGGGCGUAAAGCGCGCGCAGGCGGUCCUUUAAGUCUGAUGUGAAAGCCCACGGCUCAACCGUGGAGGGUCAUUGGAAACUGGGGGACUUGAGUACAGAAGAGGAAAGCGGAAUUCCACGUGUAGCGGUGAAAUGCGUAGAGAUGUGGAGGAACACCAGUGGCGAAGGCGGCUUUCUGGUCUGUAACUGACGCUGGGGCGCGAAAGCGUGGGGAGCAAACAGG